AUGAGCUGUGGAUAGGGGUGAAAGGCUAAACAAACUUGGAGAUAGCUGGUUCUCUCCGAAAACUAUUUAGGUAGUGCCUCGUAUAUCAUUCUCGGGGGUAGAGCACUGUUAUGGCUAGGGGGUUCAUAAGAACUUACCAAACCAUUGCAAACUCCGAAUACUGAGAAAUGCAAUUACGGGAGACAGACCAUGGGUGCUAACGUCCGUGGACAAGAGGGAAACAACCCAGACCGACAGCUAAGGUCCCAAAUGACGUGCUAAGUGGAAAACGAAGUGGGAAGGCAUAGACAGCCAGGAUGUUGGCUUAGAAGCAGCCAUCAUUUAAAGAAAGCGUAAUAGCUCACUGGUCGAGUCGUCCUGCGCGGAAGAUGUAACGGGGCUAAGCACGUAACCGAAGCUUCGGAUGCCCUAAUUUAUUAGGUGCAUGGUAGGAGAGCGUUCUGUAGGCCUGCGAAGGUGUACUGUGAGGAAUGCUGGAGGUAUCAGAAGUGCGAAUGCUGACAUGAGUAGCGUUAAAGGGGGUGAAAAGCCCCCUCGCCGUAAGCGCAAGGUUUCCUACGCAACGUUCAUCGGCGUAGGGUGAGUCGGCCCCUAAGGCGAGGCAGAGAUGCGUAGCUGAUGGGAAACAGGUUAAUAUUCCUGUACCUCUAUACAAUGCGAUGUGGGGACGGAGAAGGUUAGGUCAGCCGGGUGUUGGAUGUCCCGGUUCAAGCGUGUAGGUUGGUUCUUUAGGCAAAUCCGGAGAGCUAAGACUGAGACGUGAUAACGAGCCUACUUGCACACGAAGUGAUUGAUACCAUGCUUCCAAGAAAAGCCACUAAGCUUCAGUUGUAUAAGACCGUACCGCAAACCGACACAGGUGGGCAGGAUGAGAAUUCUAAGGCGCUUGAGAGAACCCGGGAGAAGGAACUCGGCAAAUUAGCACCGUAACUUCGGGAGAAGGUGCGCCCCGGUAACGUGUAGUGACUUGCUCACGAAGCGUGAUGGGGUUGCAGUGAAAAGGUGGCUGCGACUGUUUAAUAAAAACACAGCACUCUGCAAACACGAAAGUGGACGUAUAGGGUGUGACGCCUGCCCGGUGCUGGAAGAUUAAAUGAUGGGGUGCAAGCUCUUGAUUGAAGUCCCAGUAAACGGCGGCCGUAACUAUAACGGUCCUAAGGUAGCGAAAUUCCUUGUCGGGUAAGUUCCGACCCGCACGAAUGGCGUAACGAUGGCCACACUGUCUCCUCUCGGGACUCAGCGAAGUUGAAAUGUUUGUGAAGAUGCAAUCUCCCCGCGGCUAGACGGAAAGACCCCAUGAACCUUUACUGCAGCUUUACAUUGGACUUUGACAAGAUUUGUGUAGGAUAGGUGGGAGACUAUGAAGCGGUGUCGCUAGAUAUCGUGGAGUCAUCC
RNAcentral lists this ribosomal RNA (1395 nucleotides) under Pseudoperonospora cubensis. Its description in RNAcentral is "bacterial LSU rRNA". It matches the Rfam family "Bacterial large subunit ribosomal RNA", at positions 804 to 2191 of the family's 2925-position model. The record is from RNAcentral. Lineage: Eukaryota; Oomycota; Peronosporomycetes; Peronosporales; Peronosporaceae.